AGAGUUUGAUCAUGGCUCAGAAUCAACGCUGGCGGCGUGCCUAACACAUGCAAGUCGCACGAGAAAGUGGAGCAAUCCAUGAGUAAAGUGGCGCACGGGUGAGUAACACGUGACUAACCUACCCUCGAGUGGGGAAUAACCUAGGGAAACCUGGGCUAAUACCGCAUAAUACCCACGGGUCAAAGGAGCAAUCCGCUUGA
RNAcentral lists this ribosomal RNA (200 nucleotides) under uncultured bacterium. RNAcentral describes it as "partial 16S ribosomal RNA". It matches the Rfam family "Bacterial small subunit ribosomal RNA", at positions 8 to 222 of the family's 1533-position model. The record is from RNAcentral.